UCAAGGGAAAAUAUAGUGUAUAUUAUCUGUUGUGUGCGACUGUAUCUUCGGUUCCCAAUCGAAUUUCCUGUGAAGUUGAAAGAUAGCAUCCUCACAACAAAUAAUUCUUCUUUUGAGAGACCGUGAUGGAGAUACGCAUUGUCCUCGGUAAACGAUGCCAAAAUCUUAUUAUUACCACAUGUAUCGACAGACAUCACUACCAAACGAGUACUUCAGAGUUCAGAAUACAACAAGCAGCAGCAGCAGCUAAUUAGAGAAAAAAUUGUGCAGGCAUGACACCUGCCACACACCAUACUACAGGGGGCAUACCAACGGUAAUAAAAGAGCUCUAUAUAACGGAGUCCUCUCCCUCCUAAUUUACCAGCUCGGAUCGGAUCUAUGCAACAAACUGCAACGGACGGUACGAUAUCAACUUGUUUCCACAAGACCCAGGUUUCGCCACGGCAGCAAGGACCGGGGUGCUCGGGUCACCAUGCCCGGCN
RNAcentral lists this long non-coding RNA (482 nucleotides) under Hordeum vulgare. RNAcentral describes it as "long non-coding RNA (HVUL_LNC020894)". The record is from RNAcentral. Lineage: Eukaryota; Viridiplantae; Streptophyta; Magnoliopsida; Poales; Poaceae.